GCGACCACCGAAGUUAAGCAACAUUGAGCCUGGUCUGUACCUAGAUGGGUGACCACUUGAGAAUACCAGGUGCUGUAAG
Molecule: non-coding RNA, 79 nt
Organism: Acanthosepion pharaonis
Lineage: Eukaryota; Metazoa; Mollusca; Cephalopoda; Sepiida; Sepiidae
Source: the annotation of a GenBank genome assembly